This is an RNA transcript of Ictalurus punctatus (channel catfish), 2962 nucleotides long. It is a transcript of the gene named acyl-CoA synthetase medium chain family member 3, with no coding region annotated. The record is from RefSeq and is a predicted model, not a curated record. The transcript has 3 exons. NCBI's taxonomy places the organism in Eukaryota, Metazoa, Chordata, Actinopteri, Siluriformes, Ictaluridae.
UGUAUCCGAAAGAAAGGGGUACGCAUCGGCCGUCCUAACUCAGCAGCAACAAGGGAUGGGAAAACAGGCCAUCUCCUAUUACAGCACGGCUCUUGAUAACGUGGAAAAAGGGAUGCCCCCCUGUUAUCGGUCUUUGGCAGCGGCCGCAUUUGCAUAUCAGAAAGCGUCCUCAAUCACCAUGGGGCACCCAGUUACAUUAUAUACGACCCAUGCACUGCAUGCGCUCCUAACGAGUCAGACCUUUGUGAUAACGAACUCCCGUCGAACAGGAUAUGACUCCAUUCUGUCAGCCCCGGAGCUCACCAUAGAACGGUGCACCACGGUGAAUCCGGCCGAUAAACUGGUAACCCCGAUAGAUGGUGUACCCCAUGAGUGCGUAGCAGUAUCAGAGAUAUUUUUGAAAGCGCGUUCAGAUUUGGAGAACUGCCCUAUUGAUAAUGCUAAGCAUACGUAUUUUGUGGACGGUUCCUGUUAUCGUACUAAUACGGGCAAUAAGGCUGGGUUGGCAGUAGUAGAAGCACGACGAAACCCGGCGACGUUUGAGGUAGUGAUGAGUGUUCCGCUCCCCCAACCCUGCUCGGCCCAGCUAGCUGAACUACGGGCGUUGACAGCUGCAUGUAAUUUGGGCCGUAAUGAGAGUUGCAAUAUAUAUACGGACUCAGCCUAUGCUCAUGGAGUCUGCCAUGUGUUUGGACCAAUCUGGGCUCAAAGGGGAUUCCAGCGGGCAGAUGGGACCGCCGUGACCCACGGGGAGGCGAUUUCAGAUUUACUAGAUUUUUACAGCAGGGCUAAUAGUACUCUUUUUCCUUUUCUACGACCCAAUGUUUAAAAGAAAUGCCCUGGAUUCCUAUCAUACAUUACACCCACUAGCGACUGCUACUUCCCGCACAGCCCUCUAUCCUCGUAUUAGGCGUGUUCGAUCCUGGACGGCCCCUGGCUCCACUAUAGGUUCCCGUAGCUCGAUGUGCGCGUUAGCUCUCCUUAGACUCGCCCAUGAAGAGUCCCUGAUUGGGAGAAGUCCCUAUUUGGCCUCAUUCACUUUCUCCCCAGCUCGGUCUGUGGAGAUUCGCGUAGGACAUCUUAGAAUUACUGGUAGGGCACGGACGAGUAGGUGCUCCUUCGAGCUGCCCACGAUUGGCCCCCUGUGGCUACCGUUCCUUUGCUCGGCUACGGCAUGUUCUUACCAUGAUAGUACAGGGUCACCCUUCGCAUCCCGGGCUCUCCACCCCCUCCUCAUUGCCCCGAUGUCAACUCCACUCGCACAUAAAUUAAUGAAAUUACAAUAUUAUUCAAUCUCUACCGCUAACACUUCGCUCACGGAGGAGCAGAGUAACAUGUACAUGGCAUGGAUGGUCCACACUGCUCGAUCUGUGACGGAUCGCUCGUGUCUCGUAUGUCAUGAUCGUAGCCUCACCCCCCAUUUUAUGCUGCCUAUGGGGAACCUCAAAGAAUGUCUCACCAACCCCUAUUCUGUUGAUUUUUUGUGUCCUACUGUGUGCCUCCUUGGGGCCCUUUCGGCUGAUUUUGGCCCAUCGUGGAUGCACAAUGCAAGCUCCUCAUGCCUGUUUCACCCUGUAACCACUCAAGUGUCGACUUUUGUCCGCGUCCAACCAUCUCUGCCCUCGUUCUUUCCCAUCUGCCUCUGCUCCUCUGUUGGCGUAUAUCCUGUGGGAAAUAUGUCUGCCCGAUGUAAUGUCUCCCUGUUCGCUAAUGAUUUGCAAAUUGAAACCCCCUCUGUUUGUGAUUCACCCCCAUGCACCCCCAACGUGGUAAUUCCCCUACCUGAUCUUAGUGGUGGUACUGUUCCCCUUGCGGAUGUGUUCUGGUUUUGCGGGGGCCAACGUGUACGCCAGACCUUGCCUGCGGAGUGGCAGGGAUGCUGCGCCCCGGUUAGGUUGGAUGGUAAGACCCGUGUUUUGUUGGUGGCUGACCGCCCGUCAUCCGGCCGGUCCCGUUCACGCCGCGACGUGGCCCAAUGGACUCAGUAUGUCCGUGACGCUGAUGCAGCGAACUAUUCUGACUGGGCUGCUGGUGAGACCGUCCAUCUUGACUUUGGGGGUACCCCCGUUGGCGUUCCUGCUCGCUACAGAGCCAUGGAGGCCGUUGGCAGUGGUGUACCGUCUAUUUUACUCCCGGCCGUGCAGAUCAACCGCAACGUGGCAUGGAUUAAUUACAUGUGGUACAACGAGCAACGCUUCAUUAACUACUCGCUGAGUGCUCUCGGACUGGUCCGUGAUCAGCUCCAUGCCACUUCCCUCAUGGCUGCUCAGAACCGUUUUGUCCUGGACCAGAUGCGGGCCCCGGAGGAAGGUGUCUGUACAAUGAUUGGUCCCGAGUGCUGUGCUGCAAUCCCUUUGCACACUGGUUCUGAGGGAGCCCUCUCCAAGGUCCUGGGCCAACUACAAGCCCUCCAGACGGAGCAAGCGGCUAACUCCGGCUUUGGGUCUAGUCUCCGCCUCCCGCCGUGGCUCUCCUGGUUUCUUUCUGGAGAUUGGACUGCUACCCUGACCCGCUUGGGAGCGUCCCUGUUCGUCCUCCUUCUCCUUAUGGCUCUGGUGGCCUGCUGUGUGAUCCCCUGCGCACGGCGGAUGGUGAUGUCCCCAGCCUCCUUUUCUGGCCAGUAUGUUGUUAAGGGUGAGGCGUUACCGCCUCAACGGGGGGUGGUGAUUGAGACCAUGCGACGGGGGUCAAUGAGCAGCGACAGCAGCGACAGACAGGGGUCAAUGAGCAGUGACAGCAGCAACACCAGCGUCUACGAGAACAUGAGACGGGACAUGAGCCAGGACUGAUGGGAAAGGGGGCGCAAGGACCCGUUUGUACAAGGUAGUGGCAAGAUAUCGUAUUGGCCCAUUUGAGGUGGAGAAUGCUUUAAUAGAACAUGAUGCUGUGGCUGAGUCAGCUGUGGUCAGCAGUCCUGACCCAGUCAGAGGAGAGGUAGUGAAGGCAUUUGUUGUGCUUACUU